UAAGGAAUAUUGGUCAAUGGAGGAAACUCUGAACCAGCCAUCCCGCGUGAAGGAUGAAGGGGCUCUGCCUUGUAAACUUCUUUUGAAUGGGACGAAAACAGGGGAUUUAUCCUCGACUGACGGUACCAUUAGAAUAAGCACCGGCUAACUCCGUGCCAGCAGCCGCGGUAAUACGGAGGGUGCAAGCGUUAUCCGGAAUCACUGGGUUUAAAGGGUGCGUAGGCGGCUAAAUAAGUCAGUGGUGAAAU
Molecule: ribosomal RNA, 248 nt
Filed under: uncultured bacterium
Lineage: Bacteria
Description: partial 16S rRNA
Rfam family: Bacterial small subunit ribosomal RNA
Source: RNAcentral